Molecule: ribosomal RNA, 490 nt
Filed under: Treponema sp. oral taxon 231
Lineage: Bacteria; Pseudomonadati; Spirochaetota; Spirochaetia; Treponematales; Treponemataceae
Description: bacterial SSU rRNA
Rfam family: Bacterial small subunit ribosomal RNA
Source: RNAcentral
AACGAACGCUGGCGGCGCGUCUUAAGCAUGCAAGUCGAACGGCAAGAGAGGAGCUUGCUUCUCUCCUAGAGUGGCGGACUGGUGAGGAACACGUGGGUAAUCUACCCUUAAGAUGGGGAUAGCUGCUAGAAAUAGCAGGUAAUACCGAAUAUACUCGGCAUAUCACAAGAGGUGUUGAGGAAAGGAAGCUACGGCUUCGCUUGAGGAUGAGCUUGCGUCCCAUUAGCUAGUUGGUGAGGUAAAGGCCCACCAAGGCGACGAUGGGUAUCCGGCCUGAGAGGGUGAACGGACACAUUGGGACUGAGAUACGGCCCAAACUCCUACGGGAGGCAGCAGCUAAGAAUAUUCCGCAAUGGACGGAAGUCUGACGGAGCGACGCCGCGUGGAUGAAGAAGGCUGAAAAGUUGUAAAAUCCUUUUGUUGAUGAAGAAUAAGGGUGAGAGGGAAUGCUCAUCUGAUGACGGUAAUCGACGAAUAAGCCCGGCUAUAC